UUUACUGCCCAGUUCCAGAUACGGCCCGCAUGUAGUCUGUGUACACUCAGGAGUGGGCGUGAGCAUCCAUCAGUCGGCGAAAUCAUAAUAGUUCUGGCCCGGACUCGAGCGCGCGAAUUGUUUCUUUUUUUUUCUUUCGAACCGGUUCAUACCGGACCAGAAGUCAGUCGGCUGAAUCGUAGUUGUUCUGGCCCGGGGCCGUCGGAACGAGCGCGCGAACUGUUUCUUUCUUUGGAUCAGUUGGGAACUGCAAGCUUUGUGGAAAGAGUUUAUAACGGAGUCUUUUCUUCACCCCUGGCUGAGAGCUCGGGAUUAAUAGGAAAUUAACACAUCGGCCAUCCCCCACUCUUCCACUACUGAUGAUUUGUUGGGUGUCAUGUGAGGGUUAUGGCAUUCCCACUUCUCCACUUGUCUCAUCAAUGUUUCCCGUAAAGCCACCAAAACAAUGUGUAUGAAUAUUUUACAGUUUUUUCUGGGUUUCACAUGACUAGUUGGAGUUGGAUAUUGUAUUUUGGCUAUAAAAUCUUUGUUAUUUAUACCAUGGUCAUGGAAAAUGGUUAAAAUCUAAAUGGCUGGCAGUAAUCAUCUAUCAAGACAAACUUAUCGCUUGUCGCUAAUUAAAACGUUAUCUUGUGUGUUUAGGCCGUAGAAUCUCGUGUGUCUCCUGGCUUUAGCUUUAUAUGUAGAGUAUGGUAUCAUGAGUGUGGUAUAUAUCUUCUCAUCUCUCUCAGGGAGAAAGCAAAUCUUACUUUCUUACUAUCAUCAUUACUAAUGGUACACUACACUAUGCAAGACUGAUAGCAAUGUCAAUGUAUUGAGCUUUUUAACUAGAGUUUAAUACUUCUGCAUUCAUUUAAAUAUAACACCUGUGUCAUAGGUGUGUGGUUACUGUACGGUUACUAGAAACUAAUCACCUGGACCUGCAAGUCAACUGGAGUGAAGUUUCUUGUUCCUACAGUUGUUAAAGACAGAAAUGAGCUGUAAAAUGUGUUUAUUAGAUUGAAUGUUAGUUUGGCAAUUAUCUACUUUGUUUUAAGUUUCUGUCCUCUCUUUUUAUCUCAAACAUUUCAAAUAAAAUUUAAAAUGUG
This is a long non-coding RNA of Micropterus dolomieu (smallmouth bass), 1088 nucleotides long. RefSeq lists it as uncharacterized. The record is from RefSeq and is a predicted model, not a curated record. NCBI's taxonomy places the organism in Eukaryota, Metazoa, Chordata, Actinopteri, Centrarchiformes, Centrarchidae. The transcript is spliced from 3 exons.